RNAcentral lists this ribosomal RNA (253 nucleotides) under uncultured bacterium. Its description in RNAcentral is "partial 16S ribosomal RNA". It matches the Rfam family "Bacterial small subunit ribosomal RNA", at positions 524 to 776 of the family's 1533-position model. The record is from RNAcentral.
UACGGAGGGUGCGAGCGUUAAUCGGAAUCACUGGGCGUAAAGCGCGCGUAGGCGGCUUUUCAAGUCAGGGGUGAAAUCCCACGGCCCAACCGUGGAACUGCCUUUGAAACUGUAGAGCUUGAGUGUCGGAGAGGGUGGCGGAAUUCCAGGUGUAGGAGUGAAAUCUGUAGAUAUCUGGAGGAACACCGGUGGCGAAGGCGGCCACCUGGACGACAACUGACGCUGAGGCUCGAAAGCGUGGGGAGCAAACAGG